AGUGAACGCUGGCGGUAGGCCUAACACAUGCAAGUCGAACGGCAGCACAGUAAGAGCUUGCUCUUACGGGUGGCGAGUGGCGGACGGGUGAGGAAUACAUCUGAAUCUACUUUUUCGUGGGGGAUAACGUAGGGAAACUUACGCUAAUACCGCAUACGACCUACGGGUGAAAGCAGGGGAUCUUCGGACCUUGCGCGAUUGAAUGAGCCGAUGUCGGAUUAGCUAGUUGGCGGGGUAAAGGCCCACCAAGGCGACGAUCCGUAGCUGGUCUGAGAGGAUGAUCAGCAACACGGGAACUGAGACACGGUCCAGCCUCCUACGGGAGGCAGCAGUGGGGAAUAUUGGACAAUGGGCGCAAGCUUGAUCCAGCCAUACCGCGGGGGUGAAGAAGGCCUUCGGGUUGUAAAGCCCUUUUGUUGGGAAAGAAAAGCAGCAGGUUAAUACCCCGCUGUUCUGACGGUACCCAAAGAAUAAGCACCGGCUAACUUCGUG
RNAcentral lists this ribosomal RNA (492 nucleotides) under uncultured bacterium. Its description in RNAcentral is "partial 16S ribosomal RNA". It matches the Rfam family "Bacterial small subunit ribosomal RNA", at positions 29 to 507 of the family's 1533-position model. The record is from RNAcentral.